AUGGGUGGAUUCGGGUCCAGAUUCUGGCAGGAGGGAGUUUGGGAUCGAGAUCUGGAAAAAAGCACUAGACUGGAAGAGGACGCGAUGGAGUCGGAGCCGCUGGCGGGUACAAAAACCAGAGGCCGGGGAAGGCGCCGGUGGGAGGCAAGGCACGGAUGGACUUUACCUGCGCACGCGUCGCAGCCAUCUCCGCGCACAGUGGUGGCCACCGCGACUGGUGCUGAAGUGUCGGCGUGUGCCGGGCGCUCCGCUGGGACCCGGGUUGCUCGCCCUGAGUCUCAGCUUUCUCAUCUGUACGGUUGGGACAAGUACAGUAACCCUCGCCCGUCAAGACGGGCCAGGGCUGUGGCGAGGGUCCACGCCUUAGAGCAGGCACCUAUCUUGUGCAGGGCCCUGAGAUGGGGUCUGACUCAGUUCCUGCGGGGAACUUCACCAGUGACCCAGUCAGUGCCCUUCAGUUAAAGACCACCAGGAGCACACUUGUAAGUAAAUAUAAUUACAUUGCAGCAAGGAAUGGGGUACUAUGGGUCAUCUCAGUGGGAGGAGUUAGAGAGAAACUAUUAUACGAUUUGGACUUUAAUUGGUUGAUUUCGGACAGGAUCUCAGAAAGUGAAGACUUUAGAUUGGAUGCUGUCAGAAAGCAGGAGCAAUAUGAUUAUUAAGUAUUUUGUGGGUGGCAUCAAGACCUUGUUUUUUAUCUGCACUUAGACAACAUUAUAAAGUGCCCUUGUUUUUGUUUGCACUUAUCACGGUCUCAGAUUAACCUUCUGAAGUUGAUAUUCUGUGAGAUUGUUUAUGUCCAACAGGAAAACAAAAUGUCCUGGCCAUGAACAUCAGACCAGCGUGUAAUCACAUUAAGGCCUGUGACCAAAAUAUUGACAGAAUUGAAGUUAGAAAUAGUUCUACAGUAACAGAGUCUUCAAUACUCCAUUUAAAAUAAUGCAUAGAAGCUGGACAUGGUGGCUCAUGCCUUUAAUCUCAGCUACCUGGAAGGCUGCGGCAGGUGGAUUGCUUGAGGUCAGGCGUUCGAGACCAGCCUGGGCCUUUUGGCCUGUCUCGGCUUUUAACAUACCUUCCUCACUCAGCUUAAUCAUUUCUCACUUUAGAUUUAUAAUAAGAGAUGUGUGACUCUUACUUUCACUUGAACACAUAGAGGCCUUUAUAGAGUUAUUAAUUGGCCUAAUUUCAAUAUUGCUGUGUCUCAGAAAACAGACCUGAGGAGAGGGUGAGAUGGAGGAAGGGCAGAUCGAUGGAACCAUUCGAAUACACAUAUGUAUCAAUUAAGCUCAUUGUCUUUUGGAGCAUGGCUUGUGAUGCCCCAAAACAAUGACAAUAGUAAUAUCAAUGAUCACUGAUAACAGAUCACCAUAACAGAUAUAAUAAUAACAAAACAUUUGAAAUAUUGCAAGAAUUACAAAGAUGUAACACAGAGGUGCAAAAUAAGCACAUGCUACCAGAAAAGUGGCACUGGUAGACUUGCUUGGUGCAGGGUUGCCACAAACCUUCAACCUGUACAAACUGCAAUAUCCGAGAAGCAUAAUAAAGUGAAGUGCAAUAAAACAAGUUAAGCUUGUAUAUGUAUGCAUGCACACACCAGUACACAUCCACCUAUCCACACACAAAUCUUUGUACUAACAAAGCCUGUAUUUUCAAUUCCAACAAUACAUCAUUUGUACCUUAAAAAUCUCUGUCAUCCUUGUAGUGUCCUUUUCUGUCUUUGUUAUCAGGGUAAUGCUGGCCUCAUAAAAAAUGUUUGGAAGUGUUCCCUCCUCUUCAACUUUUGGAAGAGUUUGUGAAGAAAUCGUAUUAAUUCUUCUUCAAACAUUUGGUAGAAUUCUCCACUAAGCUAUCUGGUCUUGGAUUUUCCUUUUUCAGGAGCUUUUUGACUACUGACUCAAUAUUUUUAAUCAUUAUUUAUCUGUUUUUAUUUUCUAUUUCUUCAUGUUUCAGUCUAGUGGAUGUAUGUUUCUAGAAAUUUCUCUAUUCUAAGUUAAACAAUUUGUUGACACAUAGUUGUUUAGAGUAGACUAUUAUUAUCCUUUGUAUUUCUAUGGUACCAAUUUUAAUAUCUCCUUUUUUGUUCUAAUUUUAUUUACUUGAGAUUUCUUUUUUCUUGGCCUAGUGAGAGGUUGGUCAAUUUUUAUUAUCUUUUCAAAAAAUCAACUCUUCGUUUCAUUCAUCUUUUCUAUUGUUUUUCUAGUCUAUUUCAUUUAUUUCUGCUAUGAUCUUUGUUAUUUCCUUCUAAUUUUGGGCUUGAUUAUUUUUUUCUAUUUUUUGAGGUUUAUUUGGGAUCUUUUUUCUUUAUUUAGCACUUAUCUGUAUAAACUUCCCUCUCUUAGAACGGCUUUUGCUUCAUCUCAUCAGUUUUAGUAUGUCGUGCUUUCAUUUUAGUUUGUCUCAAGAUAUUUUAUUUCUUUUUUGAUGUUUUCUUUGAUCUACUGGUUAUUCAGGAGUGUGUUGGUUGAUUUCCACAUAUUUGUCACUUUUCUAAGUUUUCUCCUGUUUUUAAUUUCAGUUUCAUGCCACUGUAGUCAAAAAGAAUACUUGGUGAGAUCUCAAUCUUCUUAAAUUUGCUAAGACUUGUUUUCUGGCCUAAUAUAUGACCUAUGUUGGAGAAUGUACUGUGUAUGCUCGAGAAGAAUGUGUAUUUUGCUGUUUUGGAAAGGAAUGUCAUGUAUAUGUCUGGUCCAUUUGAUCUAUAGUGUAGUUCAAGUCAGCUGUUUCCUUAUUGAUUAUCUGUCUGAAUGAUCAAUCCAUUGUUGAAAGUGGGAUAUGGAAGUCCCUUACUGUUAUUGUAUUAUUGUUGUCUACUUCUCUCUUCAGAUUUGUUAAUAUUUGCUUUAUAUAAUUAGGUGCUCCAAUGUUGGGAGAAUAUAUAUUUGCAGUAGUUAUAUCCUCUUGAUGAAUUGAGCCUUGUAUCAUUCUAUAAUGACUUUCUUUGUCUCUUGUUACAGUUUUUGACUUAAAGUCUAUUUUGUUUGUUGUAAGAAUAGCUACUCUUUCUCUUCUUUUGUUCCCUCUCUUUCAGUCUAUGUGUGUCUCUAAAGGUGAAGUGAGUCUCUUAUAGGUGGCAUAUAUUUGGUUCUUGUUUUACUAUCCAUUCAGCCACUCUGUGUCUUUUGUUUCACUGAUUUGGUCCACUGAUAUUUAAAGUAACUAUUGAUAGGCAUUUUGUAGUUUUCUUGUUCUUUUAUUUCUCUCUUGCUGUGCAUGAUUUGAUUACUUUGAUUAUUUUCUGUAGUGGUAUACUUUGAUUCUUUCCUGUGCCUUUGUAUUAAUUCUUUUUUAAACGUGGUAAAAUUCUCAUUUGUGUAUCUGUUACAUGUUUGUCUUUGUGAUUAUCAUGAGGCUUACAUAAAACAUUGUAUGCUAUCGUGUGCCACACAAGGAUGUUUUGGUCAAUGAUGGGCCACAUAUACAACGGUGGUCCCAUAAGGUUAUAACAUUUUUAUUGUACCUUUCAUAUGUUUACAUACAUUAGAUACACAAAUGCUUAUGAUUGUAUUACAGUUGCCUAUAGCAUUCAGUAUAGUACAAUGCUGUACAGAUUUGUAGCCUGGAAACAAUAGGUUAUACCAUAUAGCCUGGGUGUGUGUUAGGUGGUAUUAUCUAAUUUUGUGUAAGUAUACUCUAUGAUAUUCACACCAUGACAAAAUUGCAUUAUUCAGAACAUAUCCGCAUUAAGAAAUGCAUGAUUGUAGUUAUAAUGGUCUAUUUUAAGUUGAUAACAACUUAACUUCAAUCAUAUACAAAAACCCUACACUUUACUCCCCUCCACUUAUGUUUUUUGAUGUCAGAGUUUCUUUCUUUGUAUAUUUUGUAAUUAUAUUUAUUUGUAGUAUUUUUUGUCUUUUAACCUUUUAAAAGUUAAAGUGAUUAUACUGCAUCAUUACAGUAUUAGGAGUAUUUUGAAUUUGACUGUAUAGUUACCAGUGACUUUUUAUAACUGCAUAUGGUUUCAUGAUACUAAUUAGUCUUAUUGCAUUUCAGUUUGAGGAACUCCCUUUAGGGUUUCUUAUAAAGCAGAUCUAGUGACAGUGGACUCCCCUAGAUUACUGUGGGGGGUUUCUGAAAAAGUCUGUAAGUCCUAGCCAGAGCAAUUAGGUAAGAAAAAGAAAUAAAAGGCAUCCAAAUUGGAAAAGAAGUGAAAGUGUGUCUAUUUCAAGAUGACAUGAUCUGUACAGAAGUGGAAUAAAGAGUAGCUGACAACAAUGCUGAAAUAGUUACACAUGAAGUUUUAAUGAGCUAUUUCAUAUUAAGAUACAUAUUGAGAAUUCAAACCAGAGAGACCAGUUAAUUGAUAUUUUCCCAACUCUGUUUUAGGGUGAUCAUAGAAAUGAUACCCACAAGUUAGUCACAGUGGCCUGCAUCCAUUUUGAUAUAUCAGUGACGUAUUCUGAUUGGCCAGUAAUCACCCAUACUGACUGUUAAAUAUUUUUGUUAUCACUCCUAUGCAUGGUGAAUUUGAGUUCUGGUUUUCUUUAGCCUUGUGUUAUUUAUGUGUAAAGUUGGAUCAUGGAAGGCAAAGAAUCUCCCGUGUGUCAUUCACGCUCAAGUAAAUGGCAGUGGGAUAGGGAUGUAAAUGAAACUGCAUGAUAAGCCCUGCAAGUCAUUCUGAUGUAUCGAUUUUGCUUACUGGUGUUUAAUUGCAGACAUUGUCAUAUUAACGCAACCACUAAUACAUUAUGGAGUAAGAUGCAAAAAUCACAUGAGUCUUAACAGAAAAGAAAUGUGAUUUCUGUGGUGGGCCCCUUCUGCAUUAUUCUCUAACUUCUUGUUUUAUACCUCUACUGUUAGAGAAAUUUCAGUAGAAAAUCGUGAGGGGCACUGUUUUAGAGUUUUUGUUGUUAUAGCAAUGCUUUUACUACAGCUAGGUCCCCUUGUACAUCUUUAUGUUCUUUGGCAGUCUAGAGAAUCAGAAGAGCAAACUCUAUGAGAUAGAAACUCUAAGAAUUUACCUCCAGCAUCCCUUCUCUUCUGUCAUUAAAUUGAAUUCAUAGCCAACUCAAAGAUUGACAAUUUAUACUAUGGUUUUUAUAUUUUUAUAUUAUAAUUUAUAUUAUGGCUUAUGUCAAAAUGUUUUGUUCACUGCUUUGAAAGUAUCUUUUGUUUACUUUUGUUAUCAUUUCAUAUUUUAAUUUUUUCCUUUCUAAUUGUUAGAAACUCAUGUAUUUAAUUUUAUCUUUCAAAGAACAUUUUUAAAAGGCUUACUCUGCUUAUAUGUAUAUUUUGCACAAAGCUUUCCAUUCAUAAACAAAAGGUGAAUAGGAAUCAGAAUUGAAAACUACAUAAUUUCUUUUCUCCUUUUGAGUCAAAUCAUCACAGUAUAGAUUAGUCAUUGUGUAUGAAGUGCAUUGCCAAGACAUAGUCACAUUUGUGUACAAAUGUAAAGGCUAUAUCUCAAUAGAAAUAAAAAAACAAAAAAAUGCAGAAGACCAUUAGCUAAUAAUACUAAUAAUCUAGUAUAGAAAGCAUGUGCCAACUGAUCUAGACUCUUGUGACAGUUGUAUAUCUACUCAGCUGCUUGACCUUAGGUGUAUCAAAAUCUCGAUUUCCUAGACUACAAAUGAGUAAGAGGGAUGGAGGCCCCUUACAGUUUUAAGAUUCUGGAAUUCUAAGUGGGUGUAACUGGAGCAAAUUUUAUUUUCUAAAAUUUGCAUAAUAAAUUUUAAAAUAGGAGAAAAACUAAUAAUUAAAGUACAUAUUUCUGGAAGUCUUUUUUAGGUGACUUAUACUACCAGGAAUGGAUUUACCACUAAAUAUUGGUUUUGCCUAAUUCAGCAUUGCUAUGUAAUUUGAUGGAAGUAUAACUCCAUAGACAAAGAGAUUUGGUCCUAACAUAGCUUGUAUUUUAUAUGUAUAUACACUAUUUCUAUUUAAAUUUCUGUGUAGUCAUGUUUUACCCUUUUAAAAUGAAGAUUAGUUUUAUUAUGUAUUUUCUUUUGUCUAUAAACAUUCAGUGAAUUCACACUGAAAACUGAUUAUGAACAGAUAGUCUGCUAGGCACUAAGGAAACACAUAUGAAAAACUAAGUCCUCCUCUGCCCUCAAUAUGCUCACAAGACUACAGUUACUGAAGCCUGACCUCAAAACCUAGCUAACAAAGUCCUUGAAUCAGGUGAUAGUUCAGAAUACCAUUCAUGCUCUCUCCCAAGAGUAUAUCUGAGGAAGGGCAGUUCUUUCUAGUUUUCUACAUCCUGGUCGUAUAGGUCAACCACAGGAAAAUUAAAUGAAUCUAUUGGUUUGUUGACCUAGCCUUUUCAUAUAAGCCUCAUCUAUAAAUGUAUUACCAAAUACUAUUUAUGUAAAGGGACUUGAAUGACAAAUAUUUUGAAAUUAAAACCACAAUGGUUAGCAUAGCUUUUAAAUUAGAUAAAUGUUGACCUCCCAUUGGUGAACAUAUAAAGUGCUACCAAGAUCUGCCAAUGAAAGACUUUGGAAGUGGAAAUUCAUCUUUUUAAUAAUCCUGUUAUCUGUAAGCUGACCUCAAGCCUUCAUGACAUUCAAGGCCCCUUAUUCCUAACUGUAUCUUCUGUUUUGGGCAUUGUGCUCUUGCCAUCUAACAGGAAAACAACUUUCAGUGCUGCCACCUUUUGAACAGCAGAGAUUUCUAGAGAUUAGAAAAUUACUAAAUUUAAAUAUACAUAGUUUUAAAAUAUGAUACUUUUCUACCUAUGCAUUCAAAUAUAUUCUAACUUUUAAAUCCUGUAAAUACUUAUAUUUGUAAUGAUUUUACUUAUAUGAUCCAAUUAAUUGGCAAGAAUAUGUGGUGAAAGAUUUUUUACAUGUUUGUAUUGUUCUGUGUGAGACAUCUACUGUAAGCAUUGCUUCAGGUUCUCAUUUUUGUCUGCCUUCCAGGAUUUGCUGGCCCAAGUGCUGUGUGCUAGACUUAGUCUCGGUCACAGAGGGGAGGGAAACUUGCAGUUGAGCCAGACAGUUUUGUUAUUCCUUUAAAAUUAAAAGCAUAUGAAACAGAUACAGCUUAUUAAGGUUUUUUUAAUAAAUAAAAUAAACUUAAAUAACAAAAUAAUAAAGUUCAAAAACAACUUAAAAUAUAGUUUAAUGCUGUAACCAUAGGAAAAAAGCAUGAUUAUUUGUGGGAAGAACAUUAUUAAAAGCCAUAUUCCCAAAUACGAAUUAUACAAAGAUAGAUUAUGUUACUUGAAAAAAACUUAAAGAUUUCUCAAUUUUACUUUGAGAAAUUAUAAAAUGUUAUUUUGUGGCAAGUAAGAUGAAGUACAGUAUUAUCAUCAAUCACUGUUGCUAUCUUAUAUACAAGAUUUUUGGAAACAUCCUUUUAGCAAUACCCUUUCCACUUGAGCAGCAUUAGAAAUUUUGUUCUUGUUAAUAGGUAUAAGCAUGUUCUAAUCCUGUACUUUUGUUAAAUUAUCUAUUUUAUUGACUUUCGUAAUAGAUUUUUUUGAGAAUAUUCUUUUUUUCUGAUUAGAGUUUAAGUAGAUUAUAAUUUUUCACUAGAAAGCAUUUAAAAUGCUGCUCAUUUUCUAUAGUUAGUGUGGCUUGAUUAUCUGACAAAUCCUGCCAGCAGCCUGUAGGUCUGAUACACCUUAUAUAACAUCAUCUGCAUUAUUAUUAUUAUAGCAGCCAUUUUAUAAGCAGAUAGGAAUAUUUAAAUAAUCAUUAUCAGAUAAUCAAAUCUAACAUACUCUUAAGGGUAAAUUAAUUUAAGAAAAAAAUUACUAUUACUAACAUCAUGAUUGUACAACCAGUUUUACAAUUUUGUACAACCUUUAGUUACUAAAUCUGAUUUUUGUGUAUACUUUUCAAAUCUUUCUUUAAUGCAGUGUCUUAAAACAAACAUAAAUGCACAAGUCAAGCUUGAUCAGUUUUUCAGUAGUUUUCCAGCCUUUCUUGAUUACUA
This is a long non-coding RNA of Homo sapiens (human), 7878 nucleotides long. RefSeq lists it as uncharacterized. The record is from RefSeq and is marked validated. Lineage: Eukaryota; Metazoa; Chordata; Mammalia; Primates; Hominidae.